UAUGUGGCAAAGCCGAUGAGACACUGACGAUUCAUUGGUUUGACAUGGUUUCUGGCCAAACCAGCAGCAAACCAAACCAAGCCCCAUCGGAUUGGCGGAGGUUGGGCCAGGACUCCGACAGGGCAGACCAGGACACACCAGGACAGGACGGGAGCUGAAUGCGUUAAGAGGCCUGACGUGGUCAACAUGACAGCUGCACUUUGUGGUGAUUUAUGUGUAUGACUGCGAAUGCCAGGUGAAAAAAUGUUUUUUUUUAUCACUAUCUGACAGACAGCCUGUAAUGCGCGCAUAAUGACAGCAUACAAAGCGAUUUGUAACAAUUCGCGAAUAGCUUAAUGAUUGUACAACAAGGCUUCUCGAUCAUCAA
Molecule: small RNA, 367 nt
Filed under: Drosophila ananassae
Lineage: Eukaryota; Metazoa; Arthropoda; Insecta; Diptera; Drosophilidae
Description: GF27462
Source: RNAcentral